Molecule: transfer RNA, 71 nt
Filed under: Candidatus Woesearchaeota archaeon
Lineage: Archaea; Nanobdellati; Candidatus Woesearchaeota
Description: tRNA-Gly
Rfam family: tRNA
About the family: Transfer RNA (tRNA) molecules are approximately 80 nucleotides in length. Their secondary structure includes four short double-helical elements and three loops (D, anti-codon, and T loops).
Source: RNAcentral
GCACUCGUGGUCUAAUGGCAUGACAGCGGCCUUCCAAGCCGUUUGCCCGGGUUCGAAUCCCGGCGAGUGCA